This is a non-coding RNA of Cerrena zonata, 93 nucleotides long. Lineage: Eukaryota; Fungi; Basidiomycota; Agaricomycetes; Polyporales; Cerrenaceae. The record is from the annotation of a GenBank genome assembly.
GCCCGCCUAGCUCAAUCGGAUAGAGCGUCAGACUCUUAUCUGUCAAAGCGGGAUGAUAUCUGAAGGCUGCGAGUUCGACCCUCGCGGUGGGCU